Molecule: ribosomal RNA, 408 nt
Filed under: uncultured bacterium
Lineage: Bacteria
Description: partial 16S ribosomal RNA
Rfam family: Bacterial small subunit ribosomal RNA
Source: RNAcentral
GACGAACGCUGGCGGCGUGCUUAACACAUGCAAGUCGAACGAAGUGGCGAACGGGUGAGUAACGCGUAAACAACCUGCCCUUCAGAGGGGGACAACAGUUGGAAACGACUGCUAAUACCGCAUACUGAAGGAGGGGAUUGCGUCUGAUUCGCCAGUUGGAGGGGUAACGGCCCACCAAGGCGAUGAUCAGUAUCCUGUCUGAGGGUGUGAACGGCCACAUUGUGACUGAGACACGGCCCAGACUCCUACGGGAGGCAGCAGUUGGGAAUCUUCCGCAAUGGACGAAAGUCUGACGGCGCAACGCCGCGUGAGUGAUGACGGCCUUCGGGUUGUAAAGCUCUGUUAAUCGGGACGCGGUACCGGAGUAGAAAGCCACGGCUAACUACGUGCCAGCAGCCGCGGUAAUAC